UUCUGAACACUGAUUUAUAAAUGGAGCUGGUUGCCCUCAUUGAACUCUUCAACUGCACUCCCUGGUGAUCAGACAUGGUUCGUCUUAUUGGUUAAUCUGUGUGGAAUAUGCUCCAUUCCAAUGUUUCCGUUGAAUGUCCACAUCAGUUGACAUUGGAAGAGAAAAGGUGAAGAGCUACAACUUUUCCAAUGGGAUAAAGAUGCAUAAGAUACAAUGGAUAAGUAAAGCAUCAGCUGCCCAGUGUGCUGGAAGAGCUGGAAGAACUGGUCCUGGUCAUUGCUACUGUCUCACUCCUCUCCAGUCCUUAUUAAAACAUAUUUUGUGACUUCUCCUUGGCUAAAAUAUCUAAAUACCUGUUGACGGGGUUGUUGUUCUUAUGAAAUCUAUGGGUAUCAAUAAGGUAGGUCCUAUGCAAUCAUGCUCUGCUAGAUAAUAAUAUGAUUUUCAUGAUGAAGUACAAUGAUUUGUACCUCUGCAUCGUGAAUGUCCAUGCAGGACCUUUAUCUCAUGCAGCAUUGCUAAAUAAAACUGCCUCCGCAAGGUGUUGCUGCAUGCCCCUUUUUAUUUAUGCUUGUGUUUAUUAAGUACACCGUUCAUUCAUGACUACGCUCCUUAAGCUGCUACAUCUAUGAUGGUCAUUUUUUUUAACCUCACCAUUGGGUCUUUCAUUAUUUAGAGUUGGGCUUCAGAUUGAUUGCUUGUAUUCUUUGCUUAUUUAGGUUGCAAAUUUUCCAUUUGCAGCACAGCCUGAAACAACAGCCUUGCUUGAAGCAGAGUGCAGCCUGAAGGCUCUUGAAGCACUUGACAGUAAUGGGAAACUGACAUCCUUUGGGAAAGCCAUGGCUCGUUAUCCAAUGAGUUCCGCCAUUCGAGGAUGCUCCUAACUGUCAUUUAAAUCAUAUAGAUGGUUGAUAAUUGAGCUUGGAUUAAUUGUGGGGACUCCAUCUUUGAUGCCCUGAAGCUCUUUGCUUGUAUAAGCUUGCGUAAGAGCAUCCGUCGCCCGUGUUGCAGUUUGGUGCAUUGUUGGGAGGGGAAUGACCCUUCUGCUGUUGUCUCUGUUGCUGGCGGCGAGAGCAACGUGGUCUCCUCCUUUGAAUCUGUUGGGGCCCUUCUUUCGAUAUGUUACGUGAGGAUGCACUUAUGAGUACAUGGGCAUUACCAAUAAAUGCCUGCAAGGCGAAGAUAGCCUACGACUUAUCUAAGCCAAACAAGGCAUAAUAGCAGUUUGAAUAUCACCCUUCUUUCCUGUUUAUUACUCUGUAACUGGGUAGACAGUUUAUUUAGUCUUGCUCAGCGUAGGAAAACAAACUUUC
Eucalyptus grandis is the source of this 1313-nucleotide long non-coding RNA. RefSeq lists it as uncharacterized. NCBI's taxonomy places the organism in Eukaryota, Viridiplantae, Streptophyta, Magnoliopsida, Myrtales, Myrtaceae. The transcript is spliced from 4 exons. The record is from RefSeq and is a predicted model, not a curated record.